CACUCUUGCAAGUCUUCGUGUCAUCUGGGGGCUUGAAACUGAUAGAUGCCUGCCAAAGCCUGCAUCAAUAACAAGAUCAGGAAUGAUGUGAGAAGCAUCCGGGGAGGAGGGACAAAGGGACCCUCUCCUCAGCCCCCUCCUCGCGUCCUCUUGGGGAUGGCACAGUCCAUCUAUCACCAGCUUGAGUUUGUGUUGACUGCAGCCGUAGCCCUCUUAUUAGCCCCACCUCAUCCCACCUGGGUGUCAUUGUCUCUGAGCUUCACAGAAUGGGGUGGUACUUUGUUUUGUGAAGUCAGCUGCCAGGAAGCUAGAGGGGGGUGGGGGCGGGGGGAGUGUGUAGAAGCAGUUUCCAUCUACUCAGAAGUGGUGCAAGAGAGCUUAAGCGGCUGUUUUGUUUUUGUUUUGUUUUUCCAUCCUAGCUCCCCAACCCUUUCUAAGACUGCUGAAUGCCUCCUGCCUCCGCUGCAGUCAGUGGGCCUGCCCCCUCGCUCUUUGUAAACUAGACCCUGAGGGUGGAGCUGGACAGGAAAAGAGGGGCCUCUUUGUGCCUCCAUGCUCAGUGUCACGUAGAAUAUACAUACUCUUGUGCACCUGCCAGAGCUCCAACAUAUGAAUAAUCACUUAAAUAUUUUUUUCAAACGAAGGCAAUGUGUUAAAGACCCGGGAAAUGCGUUUUCCAGUCUGAGAACCAAAUACUUCAGCUCAGAGACUGGCUGCUGGAAACCGGCAGCUGAGAAUGAGGCAUGACAUGAACAAUUUGGCUUCCUCCAGAGGGGAAGAUUCAGAAGCACUUAAUCUGCAGUGGAUGUUGCCCCUCAGUGGUUUAUGAACUCUGGGCAUGCUCAUCUCUGUCAGGGGCUGCCUUUUAACUAGUCUAAGAGCCUCUCCUUAGAGCUUAAAGCAAUUGUCCUACCAAUGUCUGUUACAUUUGCCACAGAAGCAGCAUUUUAUGUCUUCAGAUUAUAGUUGUCAUUCGGUCUCUAAGCCAAGGGACAAAGAGGACCGCCUCCCCCGCUUCCCCCCACUUGAUGGUGCUUAAAGAGAAAUUUUAAUUACCUUGCUUAGUAACAAUUUUCCCCCCAUAGCAAAUGCAUUUCGCUUCUUGCAGAUAUUUGCUAAUUAUAGGGUGUUUUGUUCCUUCAGCCCAUAGUUCUGGCAUGCUCGUGCUAUGGAGCUAAUCAAUGCUGCUUUCUCUUUUCUUUUACUAAUGGUAGGGUAAAACUACCACCCUCUUCUCCUUUUAAAUCUCUAUUCACGGGCUAGGACAAUAUUUGAGGCUGUUAGGCAUUUAUACCUACAGGUUUGGCAGCAGAAUCACACAUAUGUUGAAGCCUGAGGUGCUGGUUGAGUCUUGGGCACCGUCGCCAAGUGAGAGCUGCAGCCCCUCCACACCACCCAGGGCGGUCACGGGGUUCUCAGAGGCAUUUUUCAGGGUCUUCAUCCUUGCCUGCCUCCUCUUCAUAUGCUGCCCUUUCUUCCACUUGGCUUUAACUUGUGCCUUUCCCCCCAUUGACCUGCUUACAAGGUUGUUGUCAAAAAGGUUUAGUAUCUAUAUUUCAUUCUAAAAGCGAUGUUGAUGAAAAUUUGGUUAAGAAGCAAAACAUGAGCCACAGCCCUAUCUUCAGGGCUUUUAGAUAUUUCUAUAUAUCCUCCAUGUAUUGUGUUCUUUUACUCUCCAUGCAAUUUUGUGUUCCUGUGUUUAUAAAACAAGCACUUGCCUGUGUCA
This is a long non-coding RNA of Myotis brandtii (Brandt's bat), 1726 nucleotides long. RefSeq lists it as uncharacterized. The transcript is spliced from 2 exons. The record is from RefSeq and is a predicted model, not a curated record. NCBI's taxonomy places the organism in Eukaryota, Metazoa, Chordata, Mammalia, Chiroptera, Vespertilionidae.